UGGGGGAUAUUGCGCAAUGGGGGAAACCCUGACGCAGCAACGCCGCGUGAAGGAUGAAGGUUUUCGGAUUGUAAACUUCUUUUAUCAGAGAAGAUAAUGACGGUAUCUGAUGAAUAAGCCACGGCUAACUACGUGCCAGCAGCCGCGGUAAUACGUAGGUGGCGAGCGUUGUCCGGAUUUACUGGGUGUAAAGGGUGCGUAGGCGGGAUAGGAAGUCAGAUGUGAAAUACCGAGGCUUAACCUCGGGGCUGCAUUUGAAACUCCUAUUCUUGAGUGUCGGAGAGGAAAGCGGAAUUCCUAGUGUAGCGGUGAAAUGCGUAGAUAUUAGGAGGAACACCAGUGGCGAAGGCGGCUUUCUGGACGAUAACUGACGCUGAGGCACGAAAGCGUGGGGAGCAAACA
RNAcentral lists this ribosomal RNA (402 nucleotides) under uncultured Eubacteriales bacterium. RNAcentral's name for it is "uncultured Clostridiales bacterium partial 16S ribosomal RNA". It matches the Rfam family "Bacterial small subunit ribosomal RNA", at positions 355 to 774 of the family's 1533-position model. Lineage: Bacteria; Bacillati; Bacillota; Clostridia; Eubacteriales. The record is from RNAcentral.